AGCCCCAUUCACCUUUUCCAGCCCCGUUCACCACCACUCUUUUCUAGCCCCAUUCACCCCAUCCAGCCCCGUUCACCCAUUCCAGCCCCGUUCACCACCGCUCUUUUCCAGCCCUGUCACCACCACUCUUUUCCAGCCCCCUCACCACCUCUCUUUUCCAGCCCCGUUCACCACCACUCUUUUCUAGCCCCAUUCACCCCAUCCAGCCCUGUUCACCCAUUCCAGCCCCGUUCACCACCGCUCUUUUCCAGCCCCGUUCACCACCACUCUUCUCCAGCCCCGUUCACCACCGCUCUUUUCUAGCCCCAUUCACCUUCUCCAGCCCCGUUCACCACCCCUCCUCUCCAGCCCCAUUCACCAUCUCUCUUUUCCAGCCCCGUUCACCACCUCUCUUUUCCAGCCCCGUUCACCACCUCUCUUCUCCAGCCCCGUUCACCACCCCUCUUCUCCAGCCCCGUUCACCACCUCUCCAGCCCCGUUCACCCCCUCUCCAGCCCCGUUCACCACCUCUCCAGCCCCGUUCACCACCUCUCCAGCCCCGUUCACCACCACUCCUCUCCAGCCCUGUUCACCACCUCUCCAGCCCCGUUCACCACCUCUCCUCUCCAGCCCCGUUCACCACCUCUCUUCUCCAGCCCCGUUCACCACCUCUCCAGCCCCGUUCACCACCUCUCCUCUCCAGCCCCGUUCACCACCUCUCCUCUCCAGCCCCGUUCACCUCCUUCUCCAGCCCCGUUCAUCACCUCUCCAGCACCAUUCACCACCUCCUCCAGCCCCGUUCACCUCCUCUCUUCUCCAGCCCCGUUCACCACCUCUCCAGCCCUGAGUCCUCUGCUCAGAAUGAGCUAAAAACUGAUCGACUGGACUGGUGGAGCAGAAUGUAGGCAUGAAAGGUUCAGACCAAUGGACAGUCUUACUCUGGAGCCUCCACUUCUUCUCUCAACCUGUUACAUAUCAGCUGAAAUACUGCAAUAAGACAAGACCAUAUCUAGAGGUGUUACUGAAAACGACUACUAUAAUAAUUCAGAUAUUUAGAUCUGGUAGCAAAUGGGAGUGUUGUAUCUUUUUGUCACAGGUCUGGUUGCCGAUUAGCUCUGGUCUAGGACGAUAGUGCGACUUGCUAACGCUGAGCCUUGACUAGUUGGUUGAUUUUCCAGCUCUAGUUUAACUAAUUAUAGAAUGGUUCCCAAAGAAAAUCGUUUCAACUUUAUUUAUUAAUCUCGAAGCAAUAUUCGGGUAUGUUGGAUUUACUAGCCGUGAGAGAGAGUUCAGUUUUGAUGUUAUUUUCAAUACACUUGAGGUGUUGUCGUUUCAUCCAAACGUUUUGACAGUUGGUCAAUCUGCCUUGUAUCGUUGAUUUUUUUAUUUUUAUUUACUUCAUAGACAUCUGAUGUCAUCUUCGUCCCAAAUGGAACACUUCCCUGGGGCUCUGGUCAAAUCCUAUCUAUGGUUAGGAGGUCAUCACAACUAAUGUCUUGGUUACAGUCAAGGGAUUCAAUGUCAGGAAUGGCUACGGUUUCAUCACCCAUGAAACCCACCAGGUUAUAAAGGAAAUUUAACCCAAGGAUGACUGCCAGAUUUAAAGGUGUAUAAAGGGGUUUUACAUGGCAUGAUGUCACUGUCGGACUGAUGUUAAUAGCAGACACAUUAUAAAACCUUUUAGGAUGAAACGAGAUAAAGGUUGACGUUAAAGUUGAAAAUAAGAGAACUUUGAAAGUGUGAACUGUCCCCUUUAAGCAGAGAGAGAGAGAGAGAGGGUGAACUGACCCCUUUAAGCAGAGAGAGAGAGAGAGAGGGUGAACUGACCCCUUUAAGCAGAGAGAGAGAGGGUGAACUGUCCCCUUUAAGCAGAGAGAGAGAGGGUGAACUGACCCCUUUAAGCAGAGAGAGAGAGAGGGUGAACUGACCCCUUUAAGCAGAGAGAGAGGGUGAACUGACCCCUUUAAGCAGAGAGAGAGAUAUGGUGAACUGACCCCUUUAAGCAGAGAGAGAGGGUGAACUGACCCCUUUAAGCAGAGAGAGAGAGAGAGAGGGUGAACUGUCCCCUUUAAGCAGAGAGAGAGAGAGAGGGUGAACUGUCCCCUUUAAGUAGAGAGAGAGAGAGAGAGGGUGAACUGUCCCCUUUAAGCAGAGAGAGAGAGGGUGAACUGUCCCCUUUAAGCAGAGAGAGAUAUGGUGAACUGACCCCUUUAAGCAGAGAGAGAGGGUGAACUGACCCCUUUAAGCAGAGAGAGAGGGUGAACUGACCCCUUUAAGCAGAGAGAGAGAGGGUGAACUGUCCCCUUUAAGCAGAGAGAGAGGGUGAACUGACCCUUUAAGCAGAGAGAGAUAUGGUGAACUGACCCCUUUAAAGAGAGAGAGAGGGUGAACUGUCCCCUUUAAGCAGAGAGAGAUAUGGUGAACUGACCCCUUUAAGCAGAGAGAGACACUCUUGCUGUAGUCAUGCUGACAGUGGGAUCCAGCUCAGCCAGGCCAGGGAUGACCUUAGCCUGGGUGCUGGUCGGUUUUUGCUCUCUUGCCAUGCAUGGAGUUGGCAAGAGAGCAGAAACAGACUGGCAUCCAGGCUAAGCUGAACUACCUUCCUAUCCAGAGGUUGCUAUGCAGCUCUGGGUUACUGAAAUGCAAUUAAGUUUGUCUGAAAUGGCACCCUAUUCCCUAUAUAGUGCACAGUUCCUGGUCAAAAAGUAGUGCACUAAAUAGGGAAUAGGGUGCCAUUUGGUCACACACAUAUUCCUCUCUCUCCCGCUUGGUUGCAUUUUAGAAAGUAGACUAUAGUGUAAAAUGUAGGCUGUUUUAUUUUCCUUAAUUUGUUGUUGUAUUCAAUAUUUGCACCAUGUUAGAAGCACUUUUGUACAUUUUCUGUUUUUUAUUUAAAUGACAGAAAAGGGAAAUGCUUUAGUUUGUGACAUUAUUGGCAUUCCCUUUGCAAAACUUUUACUGUAUGCAGUUUUUUGUAAUAAACAAAGCUAUUGUUAACAAUAUA
This is a long non-coding RNA of Oncorhynchus tshawytscha (Chinook salmon), 2983 nucleotides long. NCBI's taxonomy places the organism in Eukaryota, Metazoa, Chordata, Actinopteri, Salmoniformes, Salmonidae. The record is from Ensembl.